This 465-nucleotide ribosomal RNA is filed under the name Vreelandella stevensii. RNAcentral describes it as "partial 16S ribosomal RNA". It matches the Rfam family "Bacterial small subunit ribosomal RNA", at positions 338 to 795 of the family's 1533-position model. Lineage: Bacteria; Pseudomonadati; Pseudomonadota; Gammaproteobacteria; Oceanospirillales; Halomonadaceae. The record is from RNAcentral.
CCUACGGGAGGCAGCAGUGGGGAAUACUGGACAAUGGGGGCAACUCUGAUCCAGCCAUGCCGCGUGUGUGAAGAAGGCCCUCGGGUUGUAAAGCACUUUCAGUGAGGAAGAACGCCUGGUGGUUAAUACCCAUCAGGAAAGACAUCACUCACAGAAGAAGCACCGGCUAACUCCGUGCCAGCAGCCGCGGUAAUACGGAGGGUGCGAGCGUUAAUCGGAAUUACUGGGCGUAAAGCGCGCGUAGGUGGCUUGAUAAGCCGGUUGUGAAAGCCCCGGGCUCAACCUGGGAACGGCAUCCGGAACUGUCAAGCUAGAGUGCAGGAGAGGAAGGUAGAAUUCGCGGUGUAGCGGUGAAAUGCGUAGAGAUCGGGAGGAAUACCAGUGGCGAAGGCGGCCUUCUGGACUGACACUGACACUGAGGUGCGAAAGCGUGGGUAGCAAACAGGAUUAGAUACCCGUGUAGUC